RNAcentral lists this long non-coding RNA (315 nucleotides) under Dermacentor andersoni. Its description in RNAcentral is "uncharacterized LOC126516494". Lineage: Eukaryota; Metazoa; Arthropoda; Arachnida; Ixodida; Ixodidae. The record is from RNAcentral.
GUGCAACAAUCAAAUACUGGUACUGGAUUACAAGCUUUUCGUCCCUGGAACACCCAUCGUGGACGGCACGCUUUGGCUUUACGAACAAAUUCCAAUGUACACAAGAAAGAAAGAUAUUAGCCAGGAACUCCGUGACAAUAGGUACUGGGCAAGCUACAAUAUCGCCUAUUUCCCCGACAUCUUCGCCAUCAGUGAACAACUUCCCUUAGUGGAGCAGUACGGCGACAUCUAUACAUUCGAGAACUGCCCACGUGCCAAGAUCUUCAGGCGAGAUCACGCCAAGGUCAAAGACAUGGACUCCAUGUUAAAAUUGAU